GUGCCACUAGAGGACUCCAGUGAGCCUUUGGAAGGUGAUGUUUCCACAACUGCCAAGGAAAAAAGCAAGCAAAAAUCUUUAAAAAAUCCCACAGGGCUAUCCCUUGCCUCAUCUUCAUCACCUGUGCACCAGAGUCCCAACUUUGGAGUUGCCCAUGAAUCUGCGCCUGGCUUCUCGAGUGUGUCACACUUCCGACAGGACAGGUCACAAACCUAUGCUUGGACUAUUGGGGUCAUCUUUCUUAAGUGACUGCUCUAUAGAUGAACAGAGAGAUAGAAUACUGAAUGGCGUUCCUGUUAAGAGUGAGACACAGAAAUAUGUCAGUGUUCCUUCACCACCACCAGAGGAAUUCCCGGAAUCAAUGCAGACAAGGCAAUGUCAAGCUCACAC
Molecule: long non-coding RNA, 390 nt
Filed under: Cricetulus griseus (Chinese hamster)
Lineage: Eukaryota; Metazoa; Chordata; Mammalia; Rodentia; Cricetidae
Description: lncRNA (ENSCGRG00000024163.1)
Source: RNAcentral